Molecule: small RNA, 29 nt
Filed under: Bombyx mori (domestic silkworm)
Lineage: Eukaryota; Metazoa; Arthropoda; Insecta; Lepidoptera; Bombycidae
Description: ovarian small RNA-33284
Source: RNAcentral
UGCAAAUAUCAUUGCCGUUCGAGGCACUC